RNAcentral lists this ribosomal RNA (1364 nucleotides) under Myxobolus musseliusae. RNAcentral describes it as "SSU rRNA". It matches the Rfam family "Eukaryotic small subunit ribosomal RNA", at positions 385 to 1510 of the family's 1831-position model. Lineage: Eukaryota; Metazoa; Cnidaria; Myxozoa; Bivalvulida; Myxobolidae. The record is from RNAcentral.
GGAGAGGGAGCCUGAGAAACGGCUACCACAUCCAAGGAAGGCAACAGGCGCGAAAAUUACCCAAUCUAGACAGUAGGAGGUGGUGAAGAGAAUUACUAAGUAGUGGUCCAAAGGAUCACUUGUUUGGAAUGAACGUAACUUAAGAAAUUCGUUGAGAAACAACUGGAGGGCAAGUCCUGGUGCCAGCAGCCGCGGUAAUUCCAGCUCCAGUAGUUUGCUUUAAAGUUGUUGCGUUUAAAACGCUCGUAGUUGGAUCACGCAGCGAUGUACAGUAAUCUAUGGUUCGACGCUGUUCCCUGCGUCCGUCUCGAUACGGCCAGGGUUUCAGCUCGACCUUAGAUGAUCACGCUGGACAUUGCUAGUUGCACGUGAGAUAGAUUGUUGGCCUUAAAUGUGCCGAUAUUCUUGUCUUGCGUGGUGUGCCUUGAAUAAAACAGAGUGCUCAAAGCAGGCUUUCGCCUGAAUGUUAUAGCAUGGAACGAACAAUCGUGUACAUGUGUGUGUCUUCUGGCGGUGAUACGCCUUUGGCUUGUCGUUGUCAGAGACGCACACGGCACCCACCAAAAUAUGGCUGUUGGUUCCAUAUACGGUGAUGAUUAAUAGGAGCGGUUGGGGGCAUCGGUAUUUGGCCGCGAGAGGUGAAAUUCUUAGACCGGCCAAGGACUAACAAAUGCAAAGGCACUUGUCUAGACCGUUUCCAUUAAUCAAGAACGAAAGUGGGAGGUUCGAAGACGAUCAGAUACCGUCCUAGUUCCCACUGUAAACUAUGCCGACCUGGGAUCGGUUUAGAGAUGUUACAAGCUCUAGAUCGGUCCCCCUGGGAAACCUGAAGUUUUUCGGUUACGGGGAGAGUAUGGUCGCAAGGCUGAAACUUAAAGGAAUUGACGGAAGGGCACCACCAGGGGUGGAGCCUGCGGCUUAAUUUGACUCAACACGGGGAAACUUACCUGGUCCGGACAUCGAUAGGAUUAACAGAUCAAUAGCUCUUUUAUGAUCCGAUGAGUGGUGGUGCAUGGCCGUUCUUAGUUCGUGGAGUGAUCUGUCAGCCUAAUUGCGGUAACGAACGAGACCACAGUCUCCAUUUAAGAGAUGCAAGCAGGUGUUCGGUUGUCUCGAUACCUCGCGGUGUCAGCGGCUGUACGCUGUAGGAAGGGUAGUCAGCUUUGUUGGUGGGCAUGUGGGGCAACUUAUGUGUUUGUUGGCAGAGCCGGCUAUUUCUCCCUUGCAUCACGCAGCAGUUGGUUCACACUGGCUGCUGCCUUAUGGAGAGACAACGAGGUAUAUACAAGCUCGAGGAAGAGUGGCUAUAACAGGUCAGUGAUGCCCUUCGAUGUUCAGGGCUGCACGCGCGCUACAAUGGUAAC